GAUGAACGCUAGCUACAGGCUUAACACAUGCAAGUCGAGGGGCAGCGGUAUCGACAGCUUGCUUUCGGUAGCCGGCGACCGGCGCACGGGUGAGGAACGCGUAUCGAACCUGCCUCAUACUCGGGAAUAGCAUUGCGAAAGUAAGAUUAAUGCCCGGUGUUUUCAGAGUCCCGCAUGAGGCUUUGAACAAAGAUUUAUCGGUAUGAGAUGGCGCUGCGUCCCAUUAGCUUGUUGGCGGGGUAACGGCCCACCAAGGCAACGAUGCGUAGGGGUUCUGAGAGUAAGGUCCCCCACAUUGGAGCUGAGACCCGGUCCACACUCCUACGGGGGGCAGCAGUGAGGAAUAUUGGUCAAGGGGCGGUAGCCUGAACCCGCCAAGUAGCGUGCAGGAAGACGGCCCUCCGGGUUGUAUGCUGCUUUUAGUUGGGAAUAAAGCGGGGCUCGUGAGCCCCCUUGCCUGUACCAUCAGAAAAAGGACCGGCUAAUUCCGUG
This 492-nucleotide ribosomal RNA is filed under the name uncultured bacterium. RNAcentral's name for it is "partial 16S ribosomal RNA". It matches the Rfam family "Bacterial small subunit ribosomal RNA", at positions 28 to 507 of the family's 1533-position model. The record is from RNAcentral.